This 457-nucleotide ribosomal RNA is filed under the name uncultured bacterium. RNAcentral's name for it is "bacterial SSU rRNA". It matches the Rfam family "Bacterial small subunit ribosomal RNA", at positions 340 to 789 of the family's 1533-position model. The record is from RNAcentral.
UACGGGAGGCAGCAGUGGGGAAUAUUGCACAAUGGGCGCAAGCCUGAUGCAGCCAUGCCGCGUGUAUGAAGAAGGCCUUCGGGUUGUAAAGUACUUUCAGUCGUGAGGAAGGUGUUAAGGUUAAUAACCUUAGCAAUUGACGUUAGCGACAGAAGAAGCACCGGCUAACUCCGUGCCAGCAGCCGCGGUAAUCGGAGGGUGCGAGCGUUAAUCGGAAUUACUGGGCGUAAAGGGCACGCAGGCGGUUAAUUAAGUUGGAUGUGAAAUCCCCGGGCUUAACCUGGGAAUGGCAUUCAAGACUGGUUAGCUAGAGUUUUUGUAGAGGGGGUAGAAUUCCAUGUGUAGCGGUGAAAUGCGUAGAGAUGUGGAGGAAUACCGGUGGCGAAGGCGGCCCCUGGACAAAGACUGACGCUCAUGUGCGAAAGCGUGGGGAGCGAAACAGGGAUUAGAUACCCGU